RNAcentral lists this unclassified non-coding RNA (310 nucleotides) under rhizosphere metagenome. RNAcentral's name for it is "partial ribosomal RNA internal transcribed spacer region". The record is from RNAcentral.
GUAGGUGAACCUGCGGAAGGAUCAUUAACACGUAUCCACGUAUCAACACUCUGUGAACUUAAAUUCUCCCUGUCAUUGGAGGUGCUGUUAACAUGGUUAGUGAUGGGUGUAUAGCCUAAAAACUAUACGCAAUCAUGUUGACUAGGGCUUCGAGCCCAGAGCGCACCGAUGAUAGGCCUUCAUUUCUAUCACUACCAACAAACAAUUUUAACUAUAACUCAUCUUGACUGAUGUACUUAUGUAAGAGAAAUCUGGCAUGAGUCUUUAUCUAAACUAAGCACAACUCUUAGCAAUGGAUAUCUUGGUUCUC